UUCCGGUUGAUCCUGCCGGAGGCUACCGCUAUUGGAGUUCGAUUAAGCCAUGCGAGUCGAGAGUCUUAGGGACUCGGCGUACCGCUCAGUAACACGUGGGUAACCUGCCCUAUGCUGGGGAAUAACCUCGGGAAACUGAGAAUAAUGCCCCAUAGUCCACUACGCCUGGAACGGUGAGUGGAUCAAAGCUCCGGCGGCAUAGGAUGGGCCUGCGCCGUAUCAGGUUGUAGGGGGUGUAAAGUACCCUCUAGCCAUCAACGCGUACGGGUGUUGGGAGACAUUGCCCGGAGAUGGUUUCUGAGACACGAAACCAGGCCCUACGGGGCGCAGCAGGCGCGAAAACUUCGCAAUGCGGGAAACCGUGACGAGGGAACUCCAAGUGUCUAUGCAAUGCAUAGACUGUUUUUCAGCCUAAAUAGCUGUUAGAGUAAGGGGUGGGUAGGACCGGUGCCAGCCGCCGCGGUAACACCGGCACCCCGAGUGGUAGCCACUAUUAUUGGGCCUAAAGCGUUCGUAGCCGGUUUAGUAAAUUCUUGGGUAAAUCGUACAGCUUAACUGUGCGGAUUCCGGGGACACUACUAGACUUGAGACCGGGAGAGAUUAGAGGUACUUGCAGGGGAGCGGUGAAAUGUUGUAAUCCUGCAGGGACCACCAGUGGCGAAGGCGUCUAAUCAUAACGGCUCUGACGGUGAGGAACGAAACCCUGGGGCGCAAACGGGAUUAGAUACCCCGGUAGUCCAGGGCGUAAACGCUGCUGACUUGGUGUUGGAGAUCCUACGAGGGUGUCCAGUGCUGGCGCGAAGGUAUUAAGUCAGCCCGCCUGGGGAGUACGGUCGCAAGACUGAAACUUAAAGGAAUUGGCGGGGGAGCACUGCAACGUGUGAGCGUGCGGUUUAAUUGGAUUCAACGCCGGAA
Molecule: ribosomal RNA, 915 nt
Filed under: uncultured archaeon
Lineage: Archaea
Description: bacterial SSU rRNA
Rfam family: Archaeal small subunit ribosomal RNA
Source: RNAcentral